This 456-nucleotide ribosomal RNA is filed under the name uncultured bacterium. RNAcentral's name for it is "partial 16S ribosomal RNA". It matches the Rfam family "Bacterial small subunit ribosomal RNA", at positions 355 to 803 of the family's 1533-position model. The record is from RNAcentral.
UAGGGAAUCUUCCACAAUGGACGCAAGUCUGAUGGAGCAACGCCGCGUGAGUGAAGAAGGUUUUCGGAUCGUAAAGCUCUGUUGUUGGUGAAGAAGGAUAGAGGCAGUAACCGGUCUUUAUUUGACGGUAAUCAACCAGAAAGUCACGGCUAACUACGUGCCAGCAGCCGCGGUAAUACGUAGGUGGCAAGCGUUGUCCGGAUUUAUUGGGCGUAAAGCGAGCGCAGGCGGAAUGAUAAGUCUGAUGUGAAAGCCCACGGCUCAACCGUGGAACUGCAUCGGAAACUGUCAUUCUUGAGUGCAGAAGAGGAGAGUGGAACUCCAUGUGUAGCGGUGGAAUGCGUAGAUAUAUGGAAGAACACCAGUGGCGAAGGCGGCUCUCUGGUCUGCAACUGACGCUGAGGCUCGAAAGCAUGGGUAGCGAACAGGAUUAGAUACCCUGGUAGUCCAUGCCGU